UUGAUGUAAAAGAUUGUGUAAGCAAGGCCAAUAAAAAUCGAAAAAAUAUGAUAAGAAGGAGAUUGUCUGUUCGAGUUUUUCAUUUUCAUCUCAUGUGCAAUCUUCUCAGAUUUUCCUCACUUUUCCGUCGGCUGUCAAAGUCGAAAGCAAUUAUAAGCCGGGCCAUUUGAUUUCAGGCUUUUGGCAAUUUCCGUUAAUAAAUUAAAAGUAUCAUUGCCAAAAUGGACGGGAAUGAGAAGGGGAGAACGUGAGCCAUUUGCAAAUGGGAGGAAUAUCACCUGGUGGCUCUUCCACCGAAAAGGAUUCGAGAUGCAUGCCCAAAGCCGUAAAGAGAGUUAUGGGAAAAGAGAGGCGCAAAAGAGAGUGACUCACUAAAAAAGGCAAAAUCGACAACGUGGCGUCGCUGAGCGACUGAAAGGCAUUAUCUAUUUUUUUUUGUAAAUAUAUGUACAUAUAUUUCCGAUGA
This is a non-coding RNA of Drosophila takahashii, 466 nucleotides long. Lineage: Eukaryota; Metazoa; Arthropoda; Insecta; Diptera; Drosophilidae. The record is from RefSeq and is a predicted model, not a curated record.